RNAcentral lists this small RNA (92 nucleotides) under unclassified sequences. Its description in RNAcentral is "GA-cis RNA". It matches the Rfam family "GA-cis RNA". The record is from Rfam by way of RNAcentral.
GAGGAGUGGUUUCAAAUAAUGCGGAGCAUUAUUUCUUUCAAUGAACCCGACGAGUUGCCGCCGAAGCUUCAGCUGAGGGGGCGGUACCUUGG